GGUUGUGGCUCAGUGGUAGAGCACUUGCCUAGCAUGUGUGAGGCCCUGGGUUCAAUCCUCAGCACCA
This 67-nucleotide transfer RNA is filed under the name Marmota monax (woodchuck). RNAcentral's name for it is "tRNA.Ala". It matches the Rfam family "tRNA". Rfam says of the family: Transfer RNA (tRNA) molecules are approximately 80 nucleotides in length. Their secondary structure includes four short double-helical elements and three loops (D, anti-codon, and T loops). Further hydrogen bonds mediate the characteristic L-shaped molecular structure. tRNAs have two regions of fundamental functional importance: the anti-codon, which is responsible for specific mRNA codon recognition, and the 3' end, to which the tRNAs corresponding amino acid is attached (by aminoacyl-tRNA synthetases). tRNAs cope with the degeneracy of the genetic code in two manners: having more than one tRNA (with a specific anti-codon) for a particular amino acid; and 'wobble' base-pairing, i.e. permitting non-standard base-pairing at the 3rd anti-codon position. RNAcentral also lists the same sequence under 1 other name. Lineage: Eukaryota; Metazoa; Chordata; Mammalia; Rodentia; Sciuridae. The record is from RNAcentral.